Molecule: long non-coding RNA, 257 nt
Filed under: Homo sapiens (human)
Lineage: Eukaryota; Metazoa; Chordata; Mammalia; Primates; Hominidae
Description: HSALNT0304774
Source: RNAcentral
GUGCAGUGUGGUUUCCUAUGCACAAUCUGGAAUAGUCCAUUGCUUCAUGCCUACCCUGGACAUGAAGGGCCGUGCCACAGCGGAAGUCUCUAUGCACCCACCCCCGUCUAUACCUGAGCAACUCAUUCCUCUUUGCUGCUCUCUUACAGGCUACAGAGUGCGGUGGCGCCAGCACAGAACUCUGCUCAGUGUCCCUCUGUGCUUUCACGAUGCUGAUGGAUUAUGAAGGACCUGAAAGGGUUUUGUCUAUCAGCUGC